Molecule: unclassified non-coding RNA, 1040 nt
Filed under: Hevea brasiliensis (rubber tree)
Lineage: Eukaryota; Viridiplantae; Streptophyta; Magnoliopsida; Malpighiales; Euphorbiaceae
Source: RNAcentral
UUUAUCCAGUUAUAUUUGAUUUUCAUUCCACUGUUGAAGAGAAGGUGCCACAAACACAAUACAUGAUAUAUAGGACAAGCUCUUAUUUGAAAGGAUAGACAAGAACAUCAGUCUUCUCAUAGAAGAUUGAUGCCAAAAACACAUCAGAAGACACACGAAAAAAGGAAAAAAUUAUUCAAUUAUUCAAGAGAAAUGACCAAACUCACUGUAGCUAGACUAGCAGCUCUCAAUUCUUUUGCAUAGCAAGGACCUUAGCCCAAGCUGGCCUUGCGGUGAUAUCAGCUGCCCAUGCGCUAACAUGGGGCCGUGAUUCAAUCAACUUUUUGCUUUGUGUGACGAACAGCAAGUGUAAGUUAGGUAGGUGGUGCAUAUCUGCCAAGGUGAAGGAGUCGCCUGCCAAGUACUUUGAUUGAGCCAGCCGUGACUCAUAGACAUCAAGAAUCUUAGCCAACUUAGCUUCGUUUUCCUCCACUGCUGCUGCAUCCGUGGUCAGCCCAAAUAAUGGCUUAAAAAAUAUUUCCCAGUUAAGUUUUGAAGCUGCUGGUUCAAAUUGUUGAGCCUCCACUUCCAUCCACACUGAUACUAUUGCCAUCUGCUUUCCUUGGCACAAAAGCUGGGUUCCUUUUUCUUGGUUCUCGUGGGCGAUGUAUUGGGUAAUUGCCCUUGAUUCAAAGAGCUUGAGAUCUCCAUGUUCCAAAGCCGGAACUUGACCAAAUGGAUUGAGGGAAAUGAAAGGCUCCUUCUUGUGCUCGCCUAUUCCCAUAUUGAUGUUAACGAACACAAACUCCAGCUCUUUCUCAUGGAGGGAAACCAGAACUCGCUGUGUAGCUGUUGAUAAAGGGCUUCCAUGGACCUUGAUAGCUGCCAUGAUAUGCCCUGAGGCUUGAGCUAAGAUAUUGUGAUGAAGAAGAAAGAAUUGUGAAGCUUGGAUGGGGUUCGGGAAGCCGAGUCUUGGGCAGGGAUUUAAUGAGCGGGGACGAGAUGACCCUUUGGUUUUAAAAACAUAUGGUUAGCCAGGUCUGAUUAAAAAAAGAGUAAAC